CCAAGGAUGACUUGCCUG
This 18-nucleotide non-coding RNA is filed under the name Arabidopsis thaliana (thale cress). Lineage: Eukaryota; Viridiplantae; Streptophyta; Magnoliopsida; Brassicales; Brassicaceae. The record is from RNAcentral.